GAUGAACGCUGGCGGCGUGCCUAACACAUGCAAGUCGAACGGAAGGGCCCUAAGUUUGUGGGGUGCUCGAUUGCCGAACGGGUGAGUGACACGUGUGUAUCCUGCCCUUGACUUUGGGGGAACUUCAGGAAACUGGGGCUAAUACCGGAUAGGAGCUCCUGCUCCAUGGUGGGGAUUGGAAAGUUUCGGCGGUUGGGGAUGGAUUAGCGGGUUAACGGCUUGUUGGUGGGGUAGGUGAUUACCAAGGCGUUGGAGGGUAGCCGGCCUGUGAGGGUGACCGGGCACAUUGGUCCUGAGAGAGGCACCAGACUGCAACGGGAGGCAGCGGUGGGGAACCUUGCACAAUGGGCCGAAGUGUGAUGCAGCGACGCCGCGUGCGGAAUGACGGCUUUUGGGGUAAGAACAGCUUUCGCCUGUGACGAAGCGUGAGUGACGGUAACGGGUAAAGAAGCACCGGCUAACUACGUG
Molecule: ribosomal RNA, 468 nt
Filed under: uncultured bacterium
Lineage: Bacteria
Description: partial 16S ribosomal RNA
Rfam family: Bacterial small subunit ribosomal RNA
Source: RNAcentral